ACCCAAAAUAACAGAAUUCUAGGAUAAAAAUCAUUAUUCUCUGACUCCACUAUAUAUAAACAUCCAUCACAUGCUUUUCCUUCAUUCCUGCGCCACGUCAUCAUUCACAUUUACCUUGCUUUUCUUUCUUUGAUAUACUCUCCAUACUCUUGGUUUGGGCCCUAUUUCAAGGCCCACCUCAUUCUGAUCCACAUUCCUAUCAAUGCCUUCCUCCUUAAAUAAAGCCUUGUCCUCAAGGCUAAAAGUAGGAAACUGUCCUUGCAGAAAUUCAUUGUCCUCCCAUGUGACAUCAUCCAUAGAUUUGUCCUUCCAUUUAAUCAAGCUUUGUUUUACUGUCACCCCUUCCUUGACUGUCAGCCGAGACCCUACCACUGCCUCAGGGUACACAGAUAUGUCAUCACUUACCUCCAUAUCUUUUGGUAAUUCCCCUUGUACUUGGUAGUCUCCCACAGCCUUCUUUAACAAGGACACAUGAAAAACUGAAUGUAUUUUAGACUGUGCUGGCAAUUGUAAUUGGUAAGCAACAAGCCCCACUUUAGCUAUAAUUUUAAAAGGACCAUAAAAACGUGCAGCAAGCUUUUGAUUAAUCCUUCGUACCACUGAUUGCUGCCUGUGAGGCCUUAGUUUAAGAAACACCCAUUCUCCAACUUCAAAGGAUAAG
RNAcentral lists this long non-coding RNA (661 nucleotides) under Trifolium pratense (red clover). Its description in RNAcentral is "long non-coding RNA (TPRA_LNC014409)". Lineage: Eukaryota; Viridiplantae; Streptophyta; Magnoliopsida; Fabales; Fabaceae. The record is from RNAcentral.